AUUAGUUAUUAGUUUAUAGUUUAGAAUUUUCUCAUUUUUCAAAAUGUACAUCCAAAUUUUUUGUAUAAUUUUAUUAUUCGUUUGUAUCAUGGGCGAUGGCAAGAAUUGUCCGGAAGUUUGUCAGCGUUCUGUAAAGCCAGUUUGUGGAACUAUUCAUAAUUUUGAUGGUGAUAAAGUAUACUGUACCUUUCCAAAUGAUUGUUUCUUGGAAAUUUAUACGUGUAGAACAAAUCAAGAAUUAAUUAAAACAAAAGGACCUUGUCGACAGGAUUCUUCAGGAUGUUGCAACGUUCCUAUGGAAUUAUAAAAAAUUCAUAGUUUUUGUAAAUUUAUUAAGUAUCAGAACAAAUUUAAUAAAUUUUUAUGCAA
This is a long non-coding RNA of Lucilia sericata (common green bottle fly), 369 nucleotides long. RefSeq lists it as uncharacterized. The transcript has 2 exons. Lineage: Eukaryota; Metazoa; Arthropoda; Insecta; Diptera; Calliphoridae. The record is from RefSeq and is a predicted model, not a curated record.